RNA transcript from Hevea brasiliensis (rubber tree), 1601 nucleotides. RefSeq lists it as uncharacterized. Lineage: Eukaryota; Viridiplantae; Streptophyta; Magnoliopsida; Malpighiales; Euphorbiaceae. The record is from RefSeq and is a predicted model, not a curated record. The transcript is spliced from 6 exons.
UUCCUUAAUUGGAGAAAUAAUGCAAUAUUUUUUAAUGCUUAUAAAUUUCUUAGAUUAUUCCAUAUUCAGUGACGAGCUGAAUAUUGAAGAUAGUCAGCCUUUAAACCUCUCAGCCUCCGUAGACCCCAUUGUCUCUUUUAGCAGCCUGUCUCUGUUUCACUCUCACUCUCUCUCUCUCUAUACAAACCCACUUUUCGCUUCUCUCUCUCUCUCUCUCUCUCUCUUCCCAAUGCUGACUCUUGCCAGCAAACCUAUUUAUUCUCCAAAUUCUGCCUCAAACCCAAAUUCACUGCUUCUCCUUCAAGAAUCCGAAUGUCCCUCCAAGAAAACGCCCCCUCCCUCGUUGUCGCGGGCGUCACUGGCGCAGUGGGCCAGGAGUUCCUUUCUGUCAUCUGCGACCAUGACUUCCCUUAUCGCUCUAUCAAAAUGCUUGCCUCCAAACGCUCCGCUGGGAAACAGAUCACUUUCCAGGACAGGAACUACAUGAUCGAGGAACUGACUGCCGAGAGCUUCCAUGGGGUUGACAUUGCGCUGUUCAGUGCUGGAGGGUCUAUUAGAAAGCACUUUGGGCCUGUGGCGAUGGAGAAGGGUGCUAUUAUGGUGGGUAAUAGUUCGGCUUUUAGGAUGAAUGAGGGGAUUCCGCUGGUGAUUCCUGAGGUGAAUUCGGAGGCUAUGGAAGGGAUUAAGGUCGGAAUGGGGAAGAGGGCUUUGAUUGCAAACCUGAAUUGCUCUACUAUUAUUUGUUUAAUGGCUGCCACACCCUUGCAUAGACAUGCCAAAGUGCAACGCAUGGUUGUUAGUACAUAUCAGGCAGCCAGUGGUGCUGUUGCUGCCGCAAUGGAAAAGCUGGAGCUGCAGACUCGUCUUGGCAGAAAAACACCCUUAUGCAAAAUCUUUAAGCGAAAGAAUGACAUGAAUGUUCAAGUUACUGCAACAUGUAUACCAGUUCUUGCAAAGCGAGCGCAUGCCAAAAGUGUGAAUCUUCAAUUUGAGAAGCCCCUUGAUGAGGACACAACAAUGGAUAUUUUGAAGAAUGCCUCGUGGGUGGUGGUUAUUGAUGACUGCAUCCAAUCACUUCCCUGCACCAUCAGAGGAGAAAUUAUUUGGUAUACCUGGUGCACAUGUAUUAUCUUUCACAAUUAUGUGGGACCUACUUUCUAUAUUACAAGAAAGACUCACUUUUCUAUGAGUGAGGGACUACUAUUUUUUAGUGCUCCCAGUGUAUCUAAUAAUUAGCCCCAUUAGAGGUAUCAAACAAAAAAGAUGUUGCAAUUGGUAGAAUCCGCUGAGAUGUGUCUCAAGAAGCGAAUUAGGGGUUGGAUAUCUUUGUCUAUGGAAGUCAAAUAUGCAAGGGGGCUGCACUUAAUGCCAUCCAGAUAGCUGAGUUGCUGCUGGAGUCCACUUAGCUUUAGUGUUAGGUUUUAUAUUAUGUUCAAUCAUUGUGGUGAGAUGAGGUGAUUUUGUAUCGUUAUAUUUCUAUUCUUGAGAUGCAGAUAUUUAUCUUUGCAUUGUGUCGUGCAAAUUUGCCAAAUUUUAUAGUGUGAGUGGGUAUUUGGCUUAGUUUAUGAAAAAUUUAUAAGUAUUUAGUGUUUAUAAGCUAA